GGGGAGUACGACCGCAAGGUUGAAACUCAAAGGCAUGGACGGGGGCCCGCACAAGCGGUGGAGCAUGUGGUUUAAUUCGAAGCAACGCGAAGAACCUUACCAGGUCUUGACAUCCUUUGACCACUCUAGAGAUAGAGCUUCCCCUUCGGGGGCAAAGUGACAGGUGGUGCAUGGUUGUCGUCAGCUCGUGUCGUGAGAUGUUGGGUUAAGUCCCGCAACGAGCGCAACCCUUAUUGUUAGUUGCCAUCAUUCAGUUGGGCACUCUAGCAAGACUGCCGGUGACAAACCGGAGGAAGGUGGGGAUGACGUCAAAUCAUCAUGCCCCUUAUGACCUGGGCUACACACGUGCUACAAUGGGAAGUACAACGAGUCGCGAAGUCGCGAGGCUAAGCUAAUCUCUUAAAGCUUCUCUCAGUUCGGAUUGCAGGCUGCAACUCGCCUGCAUGAAGCCGGAAUCGCUAGUAAUCGCGGAUCAGCACGCCGCGGUGAAUACGUUCCCGGGCCUUGUACACACCGCCCGUCACACCACGAGAGUUUGUAACACCCGAAGUCGGUGAGGUAACCUUNUUGGAGCCAGCCGCCUAAGGUGGGAUAGAUGAUUGGGGUGAAGUCGUAACAAGGUAGCCGUAUCGGAAGGUGCGGCUGGAUCACCUCCUUUCUAAGGAA
This 666-nucleotide ribosomal RNA is filed under the name Enterococcus faecium. Its description in RNAcentral is "bacterial SSU rRNA". It matches the Rfam family "Bacterial small subunit ribosomal RNA", at positions 875 to 1533 of the family's 1533-position model. Lineage: Bacteria; Bacillati; Bacillota; Bacilli; Lactobacillales; Enterococcaceae. The record is from RNAcentral.